AGAGCGAACGCUGGCGGCAGGCUUAACACAUGCAAGUCGAGCGGGCACUUCGGUGUCAGCGGCAGACGGGUGAGUAACGCGUGGGAACGUACCUUUUGGUUCGGAACAACACAGGGAAACUUGUGCUAAUACCGGAUAAGCCCUUACGGGGAAAGAUUUAUCGCCGAAAGAUCGGCCCGCGUCUGAUUAGCUAGUUGGUGAGGUAACGGCUCACCAAGGCGACGAUCAGUAGCUGGUCUGAGAGGAUGAUCAGCCACAUUGGGACUGAGACACGGCCCAAACUCCUACGGGAGGCAGCAGUGGGGAAUAUUGGACAAUGGGCGCAAGCCUGAUCCAGCCAUGCCGCGUGAGUGAUGAAGGCCCUAGGGUUGUAAAGCUCUUUUGUCCGGGAAGAUAAUGACUGUACCGGAAGAAUAAGCCCGGCUAACUUCGUGCCAGCAGCCGC
RNAcentral lists this ribosomal RNA (445 nucleotides) under uncultured bacterium. RNAcentral describes it as "SSU rRNA". It matches the Rfam family "Bacterial small subunit ribosomal RNA", at positions 26 to 518 of the family's 1533-position model. The record is from RNAcentral.